GGGAAUGUGGCUUAGUAGCAGAGUACUUGUCUAGCAUACAUGAAGCCCUGGGUUCAAUUCCUCAGUUCUA
This is a non-coding RNA of Dipodomys ordii (Ord's kangaroo rat), 70 nucleotides long. The record is from Rfam. NCBI's taxonomy places the organism in Eukaryota, Metazoa, Chordata, Mammalia, Rodentia, Heteromyidae.